Long non-coding RNA from Mizuhopecten yessoensis (Yesso scallop), 1472 nucleotides. RefSeq lists it as uncharacterized. The transcript has 2 exons. Lineage: Eukaryota; Metazoa; Mollusca; Bivalvia; Pectinida; Pectinidae. The record is from RefSeq and is a predicted model, not a curated record.
GUCAACAUUUAGGACGAUGGAGUCAAAGGUCACAAACUGAUAGUAGGUCCACCGUCAGCGGUCGACACACCUACAGAUUUUCCCUCUGUGCAAGAAACAAGUAACCAAACGUUCAGCAUGGCUUCAAAGAAUCCGCCCAAAGCAUGGUCUGCAAGCAGAACGUCUGACUUCCAGUUCCGGUUUAGAGUUACCGUUGCAGCAAUUGCCAUCUAUUUCUUAGUUGGAUAUAAUUUCUUUCCUUUUCAAUUUCCGGUAAUGAAUUCGAUCACUGAGAGAGUAGUUUUCACGUUGCGAUGGCAACUACUCGGGGGCUUGACCUUGUUGAUGGGGAUGAUGGGGGUCAUGGCCGUUCGGGGUCAAAGCGACGCCGCGGCGGAUCCCGUGAAAGGAAAUGCGGAACAUCUGACUCAACUUCCGCAGAAUAUUCUACAGAACACACUAGAACAGUUCAUCUUUCAUUUCGUCGGACAAAUCGUCCUGUGUACCUACCUGUCUUCGGAAUCGAUGAAAGCUAUUCCGUUACUCGUUGUCCUUUUUGUCGUUGGAAGAAUCCUCUACAAAAUUGGCUACCAAAUAGAACCAAUGAAAAGGACGUUUGGUUUUGCCUCUACGUUCUUACCUACCUUGGCAACCUAUGGAUACUGUCUCUACUGCCUAGUGAUGUAUGGGCCAGGCUAUGGAUUGGGGAAGUGAUGACGUCAUCGAAUGACAGAACAUAGUGAAUGUAGAUCAUUAAAUACAUCUACUUACAGUACACUGUGUUGACAAUUAUAAGAUUAAUAAAUUAAAUAAUGAUUAAUUAACUCAUCACAAUUGUUUAAUCACGUACCGUCUGAUCUGUUUGCAUCAAGAUGAUUUUUUUUUGUUUAUUUUUGCAUCCUUAUUUUUAUGUAAUUUUUCAAAACACAUGAUGAGUGUGAUAUUCAGGCAUGGGGCAAUUACAUUUACAAUGUAAUUAUUUAAAUUACACAUUACAUUGGAAAAGUAGCAUUACCAUUACCAUAUCACUGAUAUUUAAUUAUAUGAUAUAGGAGAAUCGUUUUCAAUAUAAGAAAUACAGUUUUUGUUGUUGUAAGGUCAACUAGUUCGAAUAUUAUCCCAAACGACUGAACAAUAGUUGUGUUCAUGUUGUCCACAAGAAGCUUAUUUCUGUAUAUAACGGAUAGUAAGAUUUCUGUAUAGAUCGUGAGAUAGAGAGAGUGUAUAUUCAAUUGUUCCCAGCGCUUACUACAAACAUAAACUAUCAUCAAUGACUCUGUCUUAUGCAACUGGAAAUAAUUGGGAAUUUGAAUAGAAAAAAUCUAGACAUAACUGUUAAAUCAAACAUUCACUGUUAUCGGUAACGUUUGUUAUGCUCAACUAUCUUAACCGUUUUGCAUGGAAAUUGUCUAAAAUGUGAAAGUAGCUGCUUUAUUAUUUUUAAAAUGCUGUACCUACAUGUAUGUAACCAGAAUAAACCUUUUUUUAUGAAA